UACGGGGGGGGCAAGCGUUGUUCGGAAUUACUGGGCGUAAAGUGUGCGCAGGCGGCCGAGCAAGUCGAGUGUGAAAGCCCCGAGCUUAACUUGGGAACUGCGCUCGAAACUACUUGGCUAGAGUGUGGCAGAGGGAGGUGGAAUUCCACGUGUAGCGGUGAAAUGCGUAGAGAUGUGGAGGAACACCGAUGGCGAAGGCAGCCUCCUGGGCCAACACUGACGCUCAUGCACGAAAGCGUGGGGAGCAAACGGG
Molecule: ribosomal RNA, 253 nt
Filed under: uncultured bacterium
Lineage: Bacteria
Description: partial 16S ribosomal RNA
Rfam family: Bacterial small subunit ribosomal RNA
Source: RNAcentral